CGCUAUCACUCCUACGGGGAGGCAGCAGUAGGGAAUCUUCCACAAUGGGCGCAAGCCUGAUGGAGCAACACCGCGUGAGUGAAGAAGGGUUUCGGCUCGUAAAGCUCUGUUGUUAAAGAAGAACACGUAUGAGAGUAACUGUUCAUACGUUGACGGUAUUUAACCAGAAAGUCACGGCUAACUACGUGCCAGCAGCCGCGGUAAUACGUAGGUGGCAAGCGUUAUCCGGAUUUAUUGGGCGUAAAGAGAGUGCAGGCGGUUUUCUAAGUCUGAUGUGAAAGCCUUCGGCUUAACCGGAGAAGUGCAUCGGAAACUGGAUAACUUGAGUGCAGAAGAGGGUAGUGGAACUCCAUGUGUAGCGGUGGAAUGCGUAGAUAUAUGGAAGAACACCAGUGGCAAAGGCGGCUACCUGGUCUGCAACUGACGCUGAGACUCGAAAGCAUGGGUAGCGAACAGGAUUAGAUACCCUGGUAG
This 474-nucleotide ribosomal RNA is filed under the name uncultured bacterium. Its description in RNAcentral is "bacterial SSU rRNA". It matches the Rfam family "Bacterial small subunit ribosomal RNA", at positions 328 to 793 of the family's 1533-position model. The record is from RNAcentral.